GGACCCGUAGCUCAGUUGGUAGAGCCCCCGGCUCAUAACCGGAUUGUCGUAGGUUCGAGGCCUGCCGGGUCCACCA
This 76-nucleotide transfer RNA is filed under the name Mailhella massiliensis. RNAcentral describes it as "tRNA-Ile". It matches the Rfam family "tRNA". Rfam says of the family: Transfer RNA (tRNA) molecules are approximately 80 nucleotides in length. Their secondary structure includes four short double-helical elements and three loops (D, anti-codon, and T loops). RNAcentral also lists the same sequence under 1 other name. The record is from RNAcentral. Lineage: Bacteria; Pseudomonadati; Thermodesulfobacteriota; Desulfovibrionia; Desulfovibrionales; Desulfovibrionaceae.